AUCGUAUGCGUGUGUAUAUAUAUAGGUUAAUAACUAAAGAUUUUAUUUGAGUACUAAUGGAAUAUAGUGUGAGAUAAAAGAAAAUAAUUGUACCUUUUGUAUCAGGGUUUGUUAAAUUUAAAUUUAUAUAGAUUAUCUAGAAUAUUUAAAAAUUAUAUUUUAGUAUUUUAAUAUUUUAUAUUUUAAAUUUAUGCAAAUAGUAGUGAAAAAUUAUCGUUUAAGUUGGUAGCUAGUUAUUUAAUAAAAGUUAUAGACUUAAAAAAUAAAUUUUAUUAGCAACAGGGUAAUCUUUUAGCUAUAUUAAUAUUUUAAUGCAUUAAAUUUUAUUUAGGCUUUAGAUUAGCCACAUUAAUAAAUUGUUAAAAAUAAUAUUUUUAGAUUUUAUUACCUAUUUAUUUAAAGGUUAAGUUAAUAUAAAUUAUAUUUAAUUAUAUUUAUUAAUAGCAGAAUUAGUAAUAAAAAAAAUUUUACAAAAGGAACUUGUUUUGUUUUUGAAAGUUUAACAAAAACAUUUCUUUAUUGUAAUUAGGUAAGACCUGCCCAGUGAUCUAAUUAAACGGCUGCAGUAUUUUAACUGUGCUAAGGUAGCAUAAUCAUUAGUUUUUUAAUUGGGAUCUGGAAUGAAAGGUUAAACAAAGAUUAUUGUCUCUUGUAAAAUAGAUUAAUUUGUAUUUUAAGUAAAAUUACUUAAAUAUUUCUAAGGGACGAUAAGACCCUAAAAGCUUUAUAAGAUAAAAAAAGUUUUGUUUAAUAAAAAAUAUAUUUUACUGGGGUAGUAGCUUUAAAAAAACUAGAGUGGGAAAGACUAUUUAGAUUUAAGUUCCUUAAUAUUAGGAUAUAUAGUGUAAGUUACUUUAGGGAUAACAGCGUAAUAAUUUUGUAGAGUUCUUAUUAAUGAAGUUGAUUGCGACCUCGAUGUUGAAUUAAGAUAAUUUUUAAUGCAGAAGUUAAAAGAAAUAGGUUUGUUCAACCUUUAAAUUCUUACAUGAUUUGAGUUCAAAUCGGUUUAAGCCAGAUUGGUUUCUAUCUUUUGAAAAUUUAAAAAAAAAUUUAGUACGAAAGGACCAAUUAAUAUUUAUACAUUUCU
RNAcentral lists this ribosomal RNA (1087 nucleotides) under Onisimus nanseni. RNAcentral's name for it is "16S ribosomal RNA". The stretch from base 695 to 1036 matches the Rfam family "Archaeal large subunit ribosomal RNA", at positions 2147 to 2719 of the family's 2987-position model. The record is from RNAcentral. Lineage: Eukaryota; Metazoa; Arthropoda; Malacostraca; Amphipoda; Lysianassidae.